CGCCUGUUUAACAAAAACAUUUCUUUUUGGUUUUUUAAAAAGUAUCUUCUGCCCUAUGAUUAGUAUUUAAAUGGCUGCAGUAUUUUGACUGUGCAAAGGUAGCAUAGUAAUUAGUUUCUUAAUUAGGAGCUUGAAUGAAUGGAUGGAUGAGAGGUAUAUUUUAUUAUUUUUUUAAUUAAAAAUUUAAAUUUAAGUAAAAAUGCUUAAUUGAAUUUUUGGGACGAUAAGACCCUAUAGAACUUUACAUAUAUAUUUUUAUUGAGUUUUUAAUAUUAUAUCUUUAUUAAUUUUUUAUAUGUUUUGCUGGGGUGGUGGAUAAAUAUGAACUUUAUUUAAUUAUAUCAAUUAUGAUUGUUAGUUAAGAUCUUUAUUAGAAAUUAUAAGAAUAAGUUACCUUAGGGAUAACAGCGUAAUCUUAAUGGAAAGUUCAUAUUUAUAUUAAGGUUGCGACCUCGAUGUUGAAUUAAGAUUAAUUAAAGAAGCAGUUUUCUUUAUUUUAGGUCUGUUCGACCUUUAAAUUCUUACUUGAUCUGAGUUCAGACCGG
RNAcentral lists this ribosomal RNA (545 nucleotides) under Commellus comma. Its description in RNAcentral is "partial 16S ribosomal RNA". The stretch from base 401 to 545 matches the Rfam family "Archaeal large subunit ribosomal RNA", at positions 2542 to 2688 of the family's 2987-position model. The record is from RNAcentral. Lineage: Eukaryota; Metazoa; Arthropoda; Insecta; Hemiptera; Cicadellidae.